ACCCUCUCAGGGUCACUCUUGGAGAGUUUCCAGUACUCUACCAGUCACGACUACAGGAGGGAGAGUCAAGCAGAGGCCUACCCAUUCCACACCUAGCUUAAGCAGUGGCUAGUGAGUGGAAGGCAAUAUGCUACAUGU
Small nucleolar RNA from Ornithorhynchus anatinus (platypus), 138 nucleotides. NCBI's taxonomy places the organism in Eukaryota, Metazoa, Chordata, Mammalia, Monotremata, Ornithorhynchidae. The record is from RefSeq and is a predicted model, not a curated record.